Molecule: ribosomal RNA, 276 nt
Filed under: uncultured bacterium
Lineage: Bacteria
Description: partial 16S ribosomal RNA
Rfam family: Bacterial small subunit ribosomal RNA
Source: RNAcentral
ACUCCUACGGGAGGCAGCAGUGGGGGAAUAUUGGACAAUGGGGGAAACCCGUAGCAUCCAGCCAUGCCGCGUGUGUGAAGAAGGGCCUUCGGGUUGUAAAGCACUUUCAGUGGGGAGGAAAGGUUGUUGGUUAAUACCUAACAGCUGUGACGUACCCACAGAAGAAGCACCGGCUACUCCGUGCCAGCAGCCGCGGUAAUACGGAGGGUGCAAGCGUUAAUCGGAAUUACUGGGCGUAAAGCGUGCGCAGGCGGUCUGUUAAGCGAGAUGUGAAAG